GCUCGGAAGGUGCGCCGCGCCUGCGUUCCGGGUCGGAGAUCUUGAACUGGACUCUCCCGGCGCUUAGGACGCGGUCCGACCGUGUGCACUUUCCGCGGGCAGAGCGCCACGACCGGUUCUCGGGCGGUCAGAAGGCGGCUGGGGAUGGUAGGUGUGCGCCUCGGCGCGCACUGGUAUAGCCCCGGCCUGUCCCGAUCCGCUCUGGGGACCGAGGAGCCGCCGCUGGCAAGUAGGCCGCCUCGCCCUCCUGGGAUGUCCCGACCGGCAGAGACUGGGCAACCGUGUCUGCCGACCGCUUCCCUGGACGGUUGUUUUAGGGGUGGGCCCUGCCGGCACAGGGUCGGUGGCGAAUCGGUCGGCCCUCCACCCGACCCGUCUUGAAACACGGACCAAGGAGUCUAACAUGCGCGCGAGUCGUUGGGUCGUACGAAACCCGAAGGCGAAGUGAAAGCGAGGGCCGGUCUCUGACCGUGCUCAGGUGGGAUCCCGCCGGGGGGGGUGUCUCCGGACCUUCCCCCGUUUUGCAAGUCGAGUGGGCGCACCACCGGCCCGUCUCGUCCGCGCUGUCGGUGAGGCGGAGCAUGAGCGUGCACGUUGGGACCCGAAAGAUGGUGAACUAUGCCUGAGUAGGACGAAGCCAGAGGAAACUCUGGUGGAGGUCCGCAGCGAUU
Molecule: ribosomal RNA, 671 nt
Filed under: Bufonaria perelegans
Lineage: Eukaryota; Metazoa; Mollusca; Gastropoda; Littorinimorpha; Bursidae
Description: eukaryotic LSU rRNA
Rfam family: Eukaryotic large subunit ribosomal RNA (bases 389-671)
Source: RNAcentral